UACGUAGGCAGCGAGCGUUGUUCGGAGUUACUGGGCGUAAAGGGUGUGUAGGCGGUUCUUUAAGUUUGGUGUGAAAUCUCCCGGCUCAACCGGGAGGGUGCGCCGAAUACUGAGGGACUAGAGUGCGGGAGAGGAAAGUGGAAUUCCUGGUGUAGCGGUGAAAUGCGCAGAUAUCAGGAAGAACACCCGUGGCGAAAGCGGCUCUCUGGAACGGUACUGACGCUGAGACGCGAAAGCGUGGGGAGCGAACAGG
Molecule: ribosomal RNA, 253 nt
Filed under: uncultured bacterium
Lineage: Bacteria
Description: partial 16S ribosomal RNA
Rfam family: Bacterial small subunit ribosomal RNA
Source: RNAcentral